UUUUUUUUUUUCUUUCUUAACUGGAAGGAUUUUCAGAAAUAGUUCUGGGUUAAACAUACUGACCUUUUGCCUGCAACCCAUGAACUAAAUCUACAUAGCUCUUUGGCUUCCGAAGGGAACUCCACCGGCCUCCCUUUCAGGAGUGAUGCUCCCAUCAGCAGACUCAGGGCACAGGCAGAGGGGUGACACACCUUGCCCCAGGUCUGACAGUCAUUAAAGAUGCAGCUCAGGCGGCAGGUCCCCCAGGCCAUACCUGACCACCAGAGUGUGUCAGGUACAGAGCUCUGUGCUCAUCUGUUGUGAAGUGAAUAGGCUUCCUCUGUCACGUGCUCCUGCCAUGAUGUACUCUGCCUCCACAGGUCCAAAGCUUCAGGUCCAAAACCACAGGACCAAGUGACCAUGGACUGAAACCUCUGAAACUCUUUCACCAUAAAACAAUAUAUACCAGACAGAAGCAUCUCCCUCAGCUUGGGCUCCAGAAUGAGAAGCCACUUGGAGCAAAUUUUUGAUCUCUCCGGCACCUAGAGCAAAGCCACAAAACCAUGCCCUACAACUGUACUGCAGCUAAUGCCUUGUGUGAAUAAUAAACAAACAGCUCAGAAACUAA
Molecule: non-coding RNA, 607 nt
Organism: Marmota flaviventris (yellow-bellied marmot)
Lineage: Eukaryota; Metazoa; Chordata; Mammalia; Rodentia; Sciuridae
Source: RefSeq, a predicted model, not a curated record